RNAcentral lists this ribosomal RNA (475 nucleotides) under bacterium 2611-S8-01-1.1. RNAcentral describes it as "bacterial SSU rRNA". It matches the Rfam family "Bacterial small subunit ribosomal RNA", at positions 58 to 513 of the family's 1533-position model. The record is from RNAcentral.
CAAGUCGAGCGGAACGAGUUAUCUGAACCUUCGGGGAACGAUAACGGCGUCCAGCGGCGGACGGGUGAGUAAUGCCUAGGAAAUUGCCCUGAUGUGGGGGAUAACCAUUGGAAACGAUGGCUAAUACCGCAUGAUGCCUACGGGCCAAAGAGGGGGACCUUCGGGCCUCUCGCGUCAGGAUAUGCCUAGGUGGGAUUAGCUAGUUGGUGAGGUAAGGGCUCACCAAGGCGACGAUCCCUAGCUGGUCUGAGAGGAUGAUCAGCCACACUGGAACUGAGACACGGUCCAGACUCCUACGGGAGGCAGCAGUGGGGAAUAUUGCACAAUGGGCGCAAGCCUGAUGCAGCCAUGCCGCGUGUGUGAAGAAGGCCUUCGGGUUGUAAAGCACUUUCAGUCGUGAGGAAGGUGGUAGUGUUAAUAGCACUAUCAUUUGACGUUAGCGACAGAAGAAGCACCGGCUAACUCCGUGCCAGCC